AGUGAACGCUGGCGGUAGGCCUAACACAUGCAAGUCGAACGGCAGCACAGUAAGAGCUUGCUCUUACGGGUGGCGAGUGGCGGACGGGUGAGGAAUACAUAGGAAUCUACUUUUUCGGGGGGGAUAACGUAGGGAAACUUACGCUAAUACCGCAUACGACCUACGGGUGAAAGCAGGGGAUCUUCGGACCUUGCGCGAUUGAAUGAGCCGAUGUCGGAUUAGCUAGUUGGCGGGGUAAAGGCCCACCAAGGCGACGAUCCGUAGCUGGUCUGAGAGGAUGAUCAGCCACACUGGAACUGAGACACGGUCCAGACUCCUACGGGAGGCAGCAGUGGGGAAUAUUGGACAAUGGGCGAAAGCCUGAUCCAGCCAUACCGCGUGGGUGAAGAAGGCCUUCGGGUUGUAAAGCCCUUUUGUUGGGAAAGAAAAGCAGCAGGUUAAUACCCCGCUGUUCUGACGGUACCCAAAGAAUAAGCACCGGCUAACUUCGUG
This 492-nucleotide ribosomal RNA is filed under the name uncultured bacterium. RNAcentral's name for it is "partial 16S ribosomal RNA". It matches the Rfam family "Bacterial small subunit ribosomal RNA", at positions 29 to 507 of the family's 1533-position model. The record is from RNAcentral.